CGGGUCUUCUUACCCUCAAUCUCAACAAGACUCUGUCCAAUCUCCCAACCCACUCAAAUGAAUUAUAUAUAAAACCUAAUUUUUUUAGAGUUCAAAGACUAAUCCUAUGUUGUAUCUUCUUGAGCGUCGUCCUUUUUACGACCUUCAUACAACUCCUUAUUCAGCAAUUGGAUAGAUUCAAGGAACCAUUAGAGCAGAUUUAUAUGCUUUACUCAGUAAUCAAAAGGAUUGAGAUUUUUGUGUUUUUCAACAUUGAAAGAUUCAGAAGAAUAUGAGGAUAUGAACUAGAGAGGGAGAAAAUCUACACCGAUGAUGGAGUUUGGUAUGGUAGCAAUCCCUUGUAAGAUCUCUUGGUUAUUUAUAUGCUCUCAUUUUCAGUUUGUCAGUGUUACUUUAUACUUUUGUUGGAAUAUUGGGGAUGACUUCACUUAAAACUUGCAUCCAAUAUUUGUUAAUUGGUGGAACUUUCUUCAUUUAGAUGAAAUUAUUUGUUGAGUUUCCCAGCAAAAUUCUAAUUUUUUAUUUUCAAUGUAUGUAGGCAAUUUGGACUUUUUGGUUAUGCAAAUGUGUAUGCUCAAUUGUGAUUGAAUAACUAGAAGUUUAGGUUUAUGCUUGGCAAAUGAUUAACAAUAAUUUUUGGCAAAUAACAAUAAGUUGAGCAUGUUUGUGUGUAUGCAUAGAAGUGUAUGUCUAAUUAAUCACCUCUCAUAGUUAACUGAUUUUUGGAUAGGAACUUCUUCAAGAACUUUCUUUAAAGGAACUGAGAUGUGCAAAGUAAAACCUUCACACUUGAAUAAUGAAUAUUCUAUAAUUCAUAAGAAAAUACUCAAUAGAAAUUUCUUUCUAUUUAGUUAAUUGCAGAGAGAAAUGGCUCAAACACAAACAACCGUUAUUAAUUCUCGCAACGAGCGUAACUAAAUAUUUAUCUAUUUCAACUUUGUGUUGGAUCCAUGAGGUGUAUUGUAUUAGUAUUUCAACUUUUGUUAACUUUAUUUCUGGAAUUAUGCAGUUCUAAUUGACACAGAAUAUGAUCCAUUAGUCUCUAAAGAAGAGAAGACAACUAUGGUAUUAAGUUCUUAGUUUAUACAAACUUAUAAAACUUUUCAUCUACUUGUUGGUCGGUAGCUAGGUAGGAAAAGUGACUGUUUUUUUUUAUGUUUCUUAGAAACAUCAAAUCUUUUGUUCUAACCUUGAGUGGGAAAGGAUUUUGGUUUUAAUGGUUGUGUGGGUUUUUUAAAACUCAUUUUGUUUUUCUGAAAUCUACUUGGAAAAUAAAUAUACUUUUGGUUUUAGGAAUAUCACUGUAUUUUCAAAGUCAGAUCAAACAAGGAGUUUUUGAGAUGGUAAGUUAAGAUAUAACUGAAAUCAUUUAAAACUCAUUUAAAAGUCAGAUCAAACAAGGAGUUUUUGAGAUGGUAAGUUAAGAUAUAACUGAAAUCAUUUAAAACUCAUUUAAAAUGAUACUGUAGUUGUUUUUAUAUGAUAUUAUUAAGUAUAAAUUAUUUGCAACUUAGCUAGCUAGAUGAGACAUAUGUUUAUUUUACGAAGGUUGUUGGAUUCCAUAUACUUUAGUAUGGCUUGGUGUAAUUUAAGUUUUUUUUUAAAAUUUUGUAAUUUAAAUGUGUUGAUGAGCUGCCUUGGCGGAGUUUUGUUUUAUUAAAAAUUAAAAGAUGUUAUUUAGUAUUCUGGACUGGGCCGACACUUGGUCCAAACAUAGUGCAAGGCCCAAAUCCAAUCUGACAAAGGGAAAGACUCCAUUGAGCUACCGCUCACAUAGGUAUGCACCUGCCCGACUAUCGAGCAGGGCCUACUCUUGGCCAAGCCUAGAGUGCCCACCAACCUCAUGAACAGGUCUGUGACCCGAGCAAGACCCCUUUCAAGGGCGCGGGCAGGCGCGUGGCUCGAACACCUUCACUUGCACCUGUUCUUCGAGGACCCUCCUCCUCGUAGGGUUACUUCACCUUCAACCCUCUGAAUCAUACGGAGUCUACGCGCUUCCGAUAAGACUGUGUCUCCCCUGAUAUUUCGGAGCGGUUAACCCAAGAUGGAGACCGCGUGUUGGUCUCCAUUACACACGUAGAUCCUGACAGUCUCCAUCUUGGGCUUGAACUUCCAAUCCAACAUGGAGAUCUUGGCCCAGCGCUGGGGGAUAUAAAUACCCUCUUUCACUUGAGGGUCAGGUAUUCAUUCACUCCCACUUAUUCUUUGUACUUGCACUCCUUAGCUCUCUUUUUUACUUUGGCAUCAGAGUACCUUGCAGGUACACUCCCCUAUUCACUUAAAGUCCAACGGUUGAAGGUCAUUGACAAUCCAGUCUGAUCAGGAUUAUAAAGAACAAAACAGGUACAAGCAAGAUGUUAGAAGGAAUGACAUGACAUCAACUCAUGACAUCGCGCCUGCAGAACUGGAAGGAAGAUUCAGUUUGUACUUAACAGAUACAGAAUAUUCUAUGUGAAUAUUAUGUAAUCUUAUGUGGCGCACAUUUACAGGUCAAAAGAAUGAUUGAAGAAUCAGAUCAGAAGAUUGAAGAUUCAGAAGAAUCAGAUCAGAAGAUUGGAUUCAACAGUUUCUAAUUUAGGAAACUCAGGAUUAAAAGACCUAAUUUGUAGCAGAAUAUUUUCUGCAUAUUUGUAACAGAUAGAGUGCUGCGAUUUGUAAGUCCAAGUCCAGUUGGGAUCAGGUUAUAAAUAGGAAACUUUGUAACCUAGUUUAGGAAGCUAACCAGCACUUAGAAAUAUGUAACCAUUAGGGUUAGCCGUGUAGGUGAACCUCCCGGUUUGUGGGAAGGUCACUGAUUUGUCCUUCUCGAAACCUGUAGGUUAGAGAAGUGAUUUCUCCUCACUCGAAACCUGUAGGUAAGAGUUGAGUAUUGUAAGCUUGAUUGAAGCUGUGAAGCAGAUCAAUUAUGUGUUCAUUGUUAAUUGUGUAAAUAGUUGUUGCAGGGUUGUAACAGUUAGGUAUCACCAGGGAGUGAGCAGAGGUUUUCUUAUCUUGGAUGGAGUUCUGAGAUAGAGAUUGCAUGGGGUAGUGACUAGGUAAACCAGGGGUUGUUUAUCUGUAAA
Molecule: long non-coding RNA, 3062 nt
Organism: Vicia villosa (hairy vetch)
Lineage: Eukaryota; Viridiplantae; Streptophyta; Magnoliopsida; Fabales; Fabaceae
Exons: 4
Source: RefSeq, a predicted model, not a curated record